Molecule: ribosomal RNA, 793 nt
Filed under: uncultured marine bacterium
Lineage: Bacteria
Description: bacterial SSU rRNA
Rfam family: Bacterial small subunit ribosomal RNA
Source: RNAcentral
ACACCAGUGGCGAAGGCGCUCUGCUGGGCCAUUACUGACGCUCAUGGACGAAAGCCAGGGGAGCGAAAGGGAUUAGAUACCCCUGUAGUCCUGGCCGUAAACGAUGAACACUAGGUGUCGGGGGAAUCGACCCCUUCGGUGUCGUAGCUAACGCGUUAAGUGUUCCGCCUGGGGAGUACGCACGCAAGUGUGAAACUCAAAGGAAUUGACGGGGGCCCGCACAAGCGGUGGAGUAUGUGGUUUAAUUCGAUGCAACGCGAAGAACCUUACCAGGGCUUGACAUCCUGCGAACCUUUAAGAAAUUAGAGGGUGCCUUCGGGAACGCAGUGACAGGUGGUGCAUGGCUGUCGUCAGCUCGUGUCGUGAGAUGUUGGGUUAAGUCCCGCAACGAGCGCAACCCACGUUUUUAGUUGCCAGCAUUUAGUUGGGCACUCUAGAAAGACCGCCGGUGAUAAACCGGAGGAAGGUGUGGAUGACGUCAAGUCAUCAUGCCCCUUACGUCCUGGGCUACACACGUACUACAAUGCUACGGACAAAGGGCAGCAAACUCGCGAGAGCUAGCAAAUCCCAUAAACCGUGGCUCAGUUCAGAUCGUAGGCUGCAACUCGCCUACGUGAAGUAGGAAUCGCUAGUAAUCGCAGGUCAGCAUACUGCGGUGAAUACGUUCCCGGGCCUUGUACACACCGCCCGUCACACCAUGGAAGUUGGCCACGCCCGAAGUCGUUACUUUAACCCUUGUGGAAAAGGACGCCGAAGGUGGGGCUGAUGACUGGGGUGAAGUCGUAACAAGGUA